Long non-coding RNA from Seriola aureovittata, 342 nucleotides. RefSeq lists it as uncharacterized. The transcript has 3 exons. The record is from RefSeq and is a predicted model, not a curated record. Lineage: Eukaryota; Metazoa; Chordata; Actinopteri; Carangiformes; Carangidae.
AUGUAGGUGAGCAUAUUAACUCGCACGUUACGAGCUCCUUCGACAUGGCACAUUAAAACAACAGGUGCACCGGCUGGGAAGGAGUCGCACCUAUAGCCUACAGCGCAGCGCUGUAACACAGGUGUAACAGACUUCUUGUUUUUAAGUUUGAGAGGAAACAAGAACGACACAUCUCCCACUCUUCCCAGCUCCACGUCUAUGGGUAACUGGAUAGGAGUGACUGACAGAAGAGUGGCAGGCCUUAGCUCCUGAUCUCCAGAGGGUGCUCUGCACCUUACUAACUGAACCAUGAAGUCAUCUUCAUCACGGAACAGAUGUGCAGGGAUUUAAACUCAAGAUGCA